RNAcentral lists this ribosomal RNA (229 nucleotides) under uncultured bacterium. RNAcentral describes it as "partial 16S ribosomal RNA". It matches the Rfam family "Bacterial small subunit ribosomal RNA", at positions 118 to 348 of the family's 1533-position model. The record is from RNAcentral.
UGAGCAAUCUGCCCUUCUCUUCGGAAUAAGCGUUGGAAACGACGUCUAAUGCUGAAUACGACCUCCUUUCGCAUGAUCGGAGGUGGAAAGCUCCGGCGGAGAAGGAUGAGCUCGCGGCCUAUCAGCUAGUUGGUGUGGGUAAUGGCCCACCAAGGCGACGACGGGUAGCCGGCCUGAGAGGGUGACCGGCCACACUGGGACUGAGACACGGCCCAGACUCAUAGGGAGG